Pelobates cultripes (western spadefoot toad) is the source of this 235-nucleotide non-coding RNA. The record is from the annotation of a GenBank genome assembly. Lineage: Eukaryota; Metazoa; Chordata; Amphibia; Anura; Pelobatidae.
CUGAAAAGCAAGCCUUUCUCACUCUCACCACAUGCCAUUGCCUGUUUUACUGCCCUAAAGAAAGCCAUUGCAUCUGCACCUGCCUUGGGCUUACCAAACUACCAGCUGCCUUUCAAGUUGUUCGUGUCUGAGAAACUGGGCCACGCCUCUGGAGUUCUUACUCAACAACAUGGCUCCAGACAAAGACCCAUUGGCUACUUCUCUUGCAUGCUUGAUCCUGUUGCCAGAGGCAGCC